Molecule: ribosomal RNA, 253 nt
Filed under: uncultured bacterium
Lineage: Bacteria
Description: partial 16S ribosomal RNA
Rfam family: Bacterial small subunit ribosomal RNA
Source: RNAcentral
UACGUAGGGUGCGAGCGUUAUCCGGAAUCACUGGGCGUAAAGCGCGUGUAGGCGGCUUGGCAAGUCGGAUGUGAAAUCCCGAGGCUCAACCUCGGAACUGCACUCGAAACUGCCUGGCUCGAGUCCCGGAGAGGGUGGCGGAAUUCCCGGUGUAGGGGUGAAAUCCGUAGAUAUCGGGAGGAACACCAGUGGCGAAGGCGGCCACCUGGACGGUGACUGACGCUGAGACGCGAAAGCGUGGGGAGCAAACAGG